Molecule: long non-coding RNA, 1563 nt
Organism: Dreissena polymorpha
Lineage: Eukaryota; Metazoa; Mollusca; Bivalvia; Myida; Dreissenidae
Exons: 2
Source: RefSeq, a predicted model, not a curated record
UAAUAGUUCUCUACUUAGUUUUUUCAAAUUAUGCCCCUGGGAACAAAUUUGACCUUGCCCCAGGGGUCACAAAAAUGAACAUAUGCUUAAAUAAGGCCUAUUUUGUGCAAACUUCAAACAUCUUCUUGUUCUUAAUUAUAGAGCCUAGGGCUACUAAAUUUGGUAUGUUGUGAUAUCUAAUAGUUCUCUACCAAAUUUGUUCAAAUUAUUCCCCAGGGCUCAAAUUUGACCCUGUCCCGGGAGGUCACAAAACUGAACAUAUGACGUUUACCAGGGGAGAUUACUGCGGCCGUGUAGCUGUGACCAACAACAACAACAACAUCUUGUAAACAUGAGAUAAAACCCUGUCAUUUAGUGCCAUUUUAGAUCAGACGGUGACUGCUUACAUAGGAAUUGAAUUUCAUGAGAUGGCGCGUGUUCAGCCGAGACUGCGUCACUGUCCGAAGAAAGGGGGAGUGCUUAAUCAACAUUUUCACAACGAGUUUAAGACGAGGAGCAUGGCAAAUAAACACAGUUAACACAAAAAGUCACGUUCCCGGUGUGUCACUAAACAACAGUCGUAGUGUGGUUGUCAAUCACCGUGUUUCCGGUCGCUUGUCUUGGAGAUGUUGCCGGGAACGCUUUUGACAUAACUGGGUGGACCUGCAUCAGGUAUCCGGGCUGUUUCGAUGGUAAUUUGGUGGGUGAGGGGACGCUUUUUUACCGCGAGUAUUGGGUGCUGCUGGAGCCUUUCCGUUGGGGCGACGUGGCGUGUCGGUUCGGACCUCCGGUUCCUCGAUAGCUGUGUCCGAUUCAUCAUCGUUUGAGGCUGAUUGUACCUCUUGAACAGAUUUGGAUUCCUUUGGGGGCUCCGUGCUUUGUAGCGGUUGUUGAGUGUCAACACUGAUGGCAUGAUCUGCAGUGAUUUUCUGGAAGCGUUGAUCAAUGCGGGAGGCAACGUCGGAGUUUCUGGAACCGCGCAAUACACUAUGCCAAUCGGGGAACAAGUUCCUGAUAACCUCGCCGUGAACAGAUAAUGCCGCCGGGAAUAGCAUCUUCACGUUCUUGCUGCCGUAUUUGUCACGAGCCGCCUUGAGAUCAGGCCACAGAUCCUUGCGUGCUUCACUUAUCUCACGUGGAUAGUCUCGCAAUAUUCCGAAGUGUGUGAUUUUCAACAGUUUUGCACUGUCCAUGAUUUCAUUGACAUAGCGAAGGUCAGACACUGUAACAAGUAUCGCCCGACCACAAGUGGUUCCUUGUGAACGGGAAACGAUGCGCCGGCCAAUUCUCCUGGCUUCAACUAAACUGUGUAGAGCAAGAUUCAUAUUGAGUUUGCUUGUCAGGAACUCUCGGAUCGUUUAGACACAAUCAUCCGUACCAACAAACUCGGGGAAUCCAUUAAAAACAAGGUUGUUACGGAGGGAGCGGGCUUCAAUGUCAAGACUUUUGUAUUCAAGGAGUCGAAGACGGGCCUCUGUGACGUCAUGGACUGCUUUUGAGUGAUAAAGACUGUUAUUUAAACAAUCCAAUUUGUAGUUCAUAGCAUAAUUUGUUGAUAUCAUGUCAAGAAGACGGUUUAACUUA